Molecule: ribosomal RNA, 438 nt
Filed under: Comamonas sp. R-26812
Lineage: Bacteria; Pseudomonadati; Pseudomonadota; Betaproteobacteria; Burkholderiales; Comamonadaceae
Description: bacterial SSU rRNA
Rfam family: Bacterial small subunit ribosomal RNA
Source: RNAcentral
GAUCCCUGGCUCAGAUUGAACGCUGGCGGCAUGCCUUACACAUGCAAGUCGAACGGUAACAGGUCUUUCGGGAUGCUGACGAGUGGCGAACGGGUGAGUAAUACAUCGGAACGUGCCUAGUAGUGGGGGAUAACUACUCGAAAGAGUGGCUAAUACCGCAUGAGAUCUAUGGAUGAAAGCAGGGGACCUUCGGGCCUUGUGCUACUAGAGCGGCCGAUGGCAGAUUAGGUAGUUGGUGGGAUAAAAGCUUACCAAGCCUACGAUCUGUAGCUGGUCUGAGAGGACGAUCAGCCACACUGGGACUGAGACACGGCCCAGACUCCUACGGGAGGCAGCAGUGGGGAAUUUUGGACAAUGGGGGAAACCCUGAUCCAGCAAUGCCGCGUGCAGGAUGAAGGCCUUCGGGUUGUAAACUGCUUUUGUACGGAACGAAAAGUC